CCUGGUUUCACGUUUGAUUCUCAGCUCUCUCUACGCGUGGUUCACAUGAAUACGACAGCAUGCUGGGCUCUCUUUUCCAAUGCUCCAGCGGAUAAAUCAUCCCCAGUUGAUCCACCGCGAUAUCAAGCAGUUUCUUUGAGCAGGAUAGGCAGUGAUGCAAUCAGUUGCUUACAUUUACCCCAAGCUGAUGUGCACAUCUUU
Molecule: long non-coding RNA, 201 nt
Filed under: Setaria italica (foxtail millet)
Lineage: Eukaryota; Viridiplantae; Streptophyta; Magnoliopsida; Poales; Poaceae
Description: long non-coding RNA (SITA_LNC006536)
Source: RNAcentral